This 483-nucleotide ribosomal RNA is filed under the name uncultured bacterium. RNAcentral's name for it is "partial 16S ribosomal RNA". It matches the Rfam family "Bacterial small subunit ribosomal RNA", at positions 29 to 506 of the family's 1533-position model. The record is from RNAcentral.
AUUGAACGCUGGCGGAAUGCUUUACACAUGCAAGUCGAGCGGCAGCGCGGCCUUCGGGCUGGCGGCGAGCGGCGAACGGGUGAGUAAUGCAUCGGAACAUGCCCAGUCGUGGGGGAUAACACUUCGAAAGAAGUGCUAAUACCGCAUACGUCCUGAGGGGGAAAGCGGGGGAUCGCAAGACCUCGCGCGAUUGGAGUGGCCGAUGUCAGAUUAGCUAGUUGGUGGGGUAAAGGCCUACCAAGGCGACGAUCUGUAGCUGGUCUGAGAGGAUGAUCAGCCACACUGGGACUGAGACACGGCCCAGACUCCUACGGGAGGCAGCAGUGGGGAAUUUUGGACAAUGGGGGCAACCCUGAUCCAGCCAUUCCGCGUGAGUGAAGAAGGCCUUCGGGUUGUAAAGCUCUUUCGGCAGGAACGAAACGGUGGGCUCUAACAGAGUCCGCUAAUGACGGUACCUGAAGAAGAAGCACCGGCUAACUACGU